GUAGGUGAACCUGCGGAAGGAUCAUUAAAGAGAUAGGGUCUUCACGGCCCGACCUCCAACCCUCUGUUGUUAAAACUACCUUGUUGCUUUGGCGGGACCGUCUCGGUCUCCGAGCGCACCAACCCUCGGGUUGGUGAGCGCCCGCCAGAGUCCAACCAAACUCUUGUAUUAAACCAGUCGUCUGAGUAUAAAAUUUUAAUUAAAUUAAAACUUUCAACAACGGAUCUCUUGGUUCUC
Molecule: unclassified non-coding RNA, 237 nt
Filed under: rhizosphere metagenome
Description: partial ribosomal RNA internal transcribed spacer region
Source: RNAcentral